GCCCCUAUAGUUCAACGGAUAGAAUGCUAGCCUUCGAAGCUAGAGAUGGCGGUUCGAAUCCGUCUAGGGGCGC
RNAcentral lists this transfer RNA (73 nucleotides) under Parcubacteria group bacterium ADurb.Bin305. Its description in RNAcentral is "tRNA-Arg". It matches the Rfam family "tRNA". Rfam says of the family: Transfer RNA (tRNA) molecules are approximately 80 nucleotides in length. The record is from RNAcentral.